AUGUCAACCUCUCUUCAGGUCAAAGAAAAGAGGGAUUCUGGGAAGAAUCUGACAUGUAGAAUUUUUAUCAUGUUUUCUAUUCACAUCUUUAGCAUGAGAGGUAAAGAGGAAUUCCCCUUCAGAAUUAAUCCAGCAUUUAGUCAAAAUUGAGGAUUUUGAAGUCAUGCAGAUGUUCCUGUUUGCAAAUUGUUCUGGUUGCAUCAAGCCAAAGGACAUGCAAGAACCUCCUGAAAGGAGCUGAGUCUGAUGAGGAGUAAGGGCAGUAGUACCAACAGAGGUUUUCCAGAAUUACUUCUUCACAAGGAUUGUUCUCCUGGGUAAUGUCUACAGAGCCAGGGAACAUGAAGAAGAAGGAGUAAUAUUCCCUCUUAUUAUUCAGCAAAAUAAAGGGACCUCUUGAUCAAAC
RNAcentral lists this long non-coding RNA (406 nucleotides) under Sarcophilus harrisii (Tasmanian devil). RNAcentral's name for it is "lncRNA (ENSSHAG00000030171.1)". The record is from RNAcentral. Lineage: Eukaryota; Metazoa; Chordata; Mammalia; Dasyuromorphia; Dasyuridae.